GCAGCUAUUAAAAUAAACCUAGGACCAGGCAUUAAUGAUCAGAAAGCAAGAAGUGGUGCCUCCUGCAAUUGGGUAGCUGACAUAGAUGAGGAUCCGUGAAGCCUGAUUCCAGGUGAGAGAGCCAGAACACAGGUCAGCUUGUGCACAGCCGUGCUUCCUAUUCCAAGGGCCCUCUGCACUCAGUGACUGGAAGCAGCGCGCUACGGGCGCUCCGGACCGCCGGAGAAAGAAACGAGGGGUGUCUUCCCAGAGCGGCAGUUUUCGUGAAUGCUCCCAUUCUGAAGCUGGGAAACCAAACAGCUGUGAGUGAGUCUCACAUCAGGAACAGAAGCAGCACAGGAACCAAACAAGCGUGGUCACUCCCGCCAGGGGUAUCAGAACAGCAGAUCCUACAGACCUGUUUCCUCAUCAAUCUCUCCUCGCAGAGACUACAAGCUCCCUGAGGGUAAGACCUAGGCCUGCCUUUCUCCCUCAUUCUCUCAGUGCCCAGCACAAGGUUGGCACCUAAUCAACACUCAGUAAACACAGUAGAUGCUCAAUAAAUAUUACUUGGAUGAAUGGAUUAAAUAAACAUUUAAUCUACUGUUACCCAG
RNAcentral lists this long non-coding RNA (593 nucleotides) under Homo sapiens (human). RNAcentral's name for it is "HSALNT0285752". The record is from RNAcentral. Lineage: Eukaryota; Metazoa; Chordata; Mammalia; Primates; Hominidae.